UACAGGGGGUGCAAACGUUGCUCGGAAUUAUUGGGCGUAAAGCGCGCGUAGGCGGCUACUUAUGUCGGAUGUGAAAGCCCUUGGCUCAACUGAGGAAGUGCACCCGAAACUGAGUAGCUGGAGUACGAAAGAGGGUCGCGGAAUUCCCGGUGUAGAGGUGAAAUUCGUAGAUAUCGGGAGGAACACCGGUGGCGAAGGCGGCGACCUGGGUCGAUACUGACGCUGGAGCGCGAAAGCGUGGGGAGCAAACAGG
RNAcentral lists this ribosomal RNA (253 nucleotides) under uncultured bacterium. Its description in RNAcentral is "partial 16S ribosomal RNA". It matches the Rfam family "Bacterial small subunit ribosomal RNA", at positions 524 to 776 of the family's 1533-position model. The record is from RNAcentral.